AGAGUUUGAUCAUGGCUCAGAACGAACGCUGGCGGCGUGCCUAACACAUGCAAGUCGUGCGCGAAAGUCUUCGGAUGAGUAGAGCGGCGCACGGGUGAGUAACACGUGGGUAAUCUACCCUAAGGUCUGGAAUAACCCGGCGAAAGCCGGGCUAAUACCGGUUAAGACCACGAAACGUGAGUUUUGUGGCAAAAGUGGGGGACUUCUUCGGAGGCCUCACGCCAUAGGAUGAGCCCGCGGCCCAUCAGCUAGUUAGCGGGGUAACGGCCCACCAAGGCUAAGACGGGUAGCUGGUCUGAGAGGAUGAUCAGCCACACUGGAACUGAGACACGGUCCAGACUCCUACGGGAGGCAGCAGUGGGGAAGCUUGCGCAAUGGGCGAAAGCCUGACGCAGCAACGCCGCGUGUGUGAUGAAGGUCUUCGGAUCGUAAAGCACUGUCGGCAGGAACGAUGGUCCUGGAAGUGAACAACAACUGGGAUUGACGGUACCUGCAAAGGAAGCACCGGCUAACUCUGUGCCAGCCGCCGCGGUAAUUC
RNAcentral lists this ribosomal RNA (538 nucleotides) under uncultured bacterium. RNAcentral's name for it is "bacterial SSU rRNA". It matches the Rfam family "Bacterial small subunit ribosomal RNA", at positions 8 to 526 of the family's 1533-position model. The record is from RNAcentral.